CCGGCACGGGUGAGUAACACGUAUCCAACCUGCCGUCUACUCUUGGACAGCUCUGAAAGGAAGAUUAAUACAAGAUGGCAUCAUGAGUUCACAUGUUCACAUGAUUAAAGGUAUUCCGGUAGACGAUGGGGAUGCGUUCCAUUAGAUAGUAGGCGGGGUAACGGCCCACCUAGUCUUCGAUGGAUAGGGGUUCUGAGAGGAAGGUCCCCCACAUUGGAACUGAGACACGGUCCAA
RNAcentral lists this ribosomal RNA (235 nucleotides) under uncultured bacterium. RNAcentral's name for it is "partial 16S ribosomal RNA". It matches the Rfam family "Bacterial small subunit ribosomal RNA", at positions 100 to 334 of the family's 1533-position model. The record is from RNAcentral.